Molecule: RNase P RNA, 617 nt
Filed under: Treponema sp.
Lineage: Bacteria; Pseudomonadati; Spirochaetota; Spirochaetia; Treponematales; Treponemataceae
Description: RNase P RNA component class A
Rfam family: Bacterial RNase P class A
About the family: Ribonuclease P (RNase P) is a ubiquitous endoribonuclease, found in archaea, bacteria and eukarya as well as chloroplasts and mitochondria. Its best characterised activity is the generation of mature 5'-ends of tRNAs by cleaving the 5'-leader elements of precursor-tRNAs. Cellular RNase Ps are ribonucleoproteins.
Source: RNAcentral
GCGAUGAAUCAGGCGGCCGCGGGAAAGAAGGGUUUGCUUAACGGCAGAGCGUCCUUUCCUGAGGAAAGUCCGGACUCCGAAGGGCAUGAUGCCGGGUAAUUCCCGGGACCGCAGGGCCUUAAACUCUACGGGACAGAAAGCGCAGCAGAAAGUAUACCGCCCGGGGGGUUCCCUUCGGGUAAGGGUGAAAUGGUGUGGAGAAAACUGAAGUUUUCCCCUUAAAAAGGCGAAAAACUUUCAGGUUUUUUGCCAGGGUAAGAGCCCACCUCGGCGGCGGCAACGCCGCCGGAAAGAUUUCGCCGGCGCCGGAAAAGAUGAUUUUUGCCUGAGGCAAAGGUCCUUUUCUACGCGGCUGAAAAACGGCAAGCCUCAUCAGGAGCAAAGUCAAGCAGUGUGCCGGGGCGAUAGUUCCGGGGCCGGAGGCAACUCCGGGCGGGCGGCCCGUCCGUUAAACACGGGUAGACUGCACGGAUCCCGGCUGAAAAGCCGGGACCAGACAGAUGGCCGCUAAAAUCGCGGUUCAAAGGCCUUUGCCCUUGAGUUUCCUUGAGGAAACUCAAGGCGGAGACCGGCGGGCCGCGGUGGAGACAGAAUCCGGCUUAUGGUUCAUCGCUUUU